RNAcentral lists this transfer RNA (72 nucleotides) under Camelus dromedarius (Arabian camel). It matches the Rfam family "tRNA". From Rfam's summary of the family: Transfer RNA (tRNA) molecules are approximately 80 nucleotides in length. RNAcentral also lists the same sequence under 1 other name. Lineage: Eukaryota; Metazoa; Chordata; Mammalia; Artiodactyla; Camelidae. The record is from Rfam by way of RNAcentral.
GCGGGUAUAGCUCAGUGGUAGAGCACAUGCUUAGCAUGCAUGAGGUCCUGGGUUCAAUUCCCAGUACCUCCA